UGUAAUUUAAAAUUGCAUCAUGAUAAUUGAAAGCAUUCCCUGUAAAAACUGGAACAAGACAAGUAUGCCCUCUUUCACCACUUCUAUUUAACAUAGUUCUUAAAAUACUAGCCAGAGCAAUAAGACAGAUUAAAGAAAUUAAAGGGAUAUGGAUAGGAAAAGAACUCAAAUUACCACUAUUUGCCGACAAUAUGAUUCUAUACAUAGAAGACCCAAAAUUCCACCAGAAAACUUUUAGAACUAAUAAAUGAAUUCAGCAAAGUAACAGGAUAUAAAAUCAACACCCAUAAAUCAAAGGCAUUUCUGCAUAUCAGUGACAAAUCCUCUGAAAAAGAAACGAGGAAAACUACCCCAUUUAUAAUAGCCUCAAAGAAAAAUAAAAUACUUGGGGAUCAACUUAAUGAAAGAAAUGAAAGACUUGUACAAUGAAAAGUACAGAAUGCUAAAGAAAGAAAUUAAAGAAGACCUUAGAAGAUGGAAAGAUCUCCCUUGUUCUUGAAUAGGCAGAAUUAAUAUUGUCAAAAUGACCAUACUAACAAAAGCACUAUGCAGAUUUAAUGCAAUUUCAAUCAAAAUCCCAAUGACAUUCCUCAUGGAAAAUGCAGUCACGAAAUUCAUCUGGAAAACUAAUAAGAGAACCAGAAUAGUUAAAGCAAUCCUUAUCAAGAAGAGUGAAGCAGGUGGCAUCACUAUACAAGACCUUAAACUAUACUAUAGAGCUAAAGUAGCAAAAAUGGCAUGGUAUUGACACCAAAAUAAACGUGUAGACCAAUGGUACAGAAUAGAGGACACAGAAACAAACCUACGUAAAUACACUAUAUCUUAUAUUAAACAAAAGCACCAAAAAUAUAUUGGAGAAAAGAUAGCCUCUUCAACAAAUGGUGCUGGGAAAACUGAAAAUCCAUACGCAACAAAAUGAAAUUAAGCCCCUAUCUCUCACCAUGCACAAAACUCAAGGGGAUCAAGGACCUAGGAAUUAAACCAGAG
RNAcentral lists this long non-coding RNA (987 nucleotides) under Marmota monax (woodchuck). Lineage: Eukaryota; Metazoa; Chordata; Mammalia; Rodentia; Sciuridae. The record is from RNAcentral.